AGAUACGGCCCAGACUCUUACGGGAGGCAGCAGUGGGGAAUAUUGCACAAUGGGCGCAAGCCUGAUGCAGCGACGCCGCGUGGGGGAUGACGGCCUUCGGGUUGUAAACUCCUUUCGCCAGGGACGAAGCGUUUUGUGACGGUACCUGGAGAAGAAGCACCGGCUAACUACGUGCCAGCAGCCGCGGUAAUACGUAGGGUGCAAGCGUUGUCCGGAAUUACUGGGCGUAAAGAGCUCGUAGGUGGUUUGUCACGUCGUCUGUGAAAUUCCACAGCUUAACUGUGGGCGUGCAGGCGAUACGGGCUGACUUGAGUACUGUAGGGGUAACUGGAAUUCCUGGUGUAGCGGUGAAAUGCGCAGAUAUCAGGAGGAACACCGAUGGCGAAGGCAGGUUACUGGGCAGUUACUGACGCUGAGGAGCGAAA
RNAcentral lists this ribosomal RNA (425 nucleotides) under uncultured Actinomycetales bacterium. Its description in RNAcentral is "bacterial SSU rRNA". It matches the Rfam family "Bacterial small subunit ribosomal RNA", at positions 322 to 758 of the family's 1533-position model. Lineage: Bacteria; Bacillati; Actinomycetota; Actinomycetes; Actinomycetales. The record is from RNAcentral.